This 2296-nucleotide long non-coding RNA is filed under the name Sus scrofa (pig). RNAcentral describes it as "lncRNA (ENSSSCG00070005010.1)". The record is from RNAcentral. Lineage: Eukaryota; Metazoa; Chordata; Mammalia; Artiodactyla; Suidae.
AUGGAAGGGGGAGACGCUAGGAGGGUGUAUUUAAAAAAAAAUCUUAAAAGCCUGCAAAACGAUCGAAGAGUGAAAACUAUUGUUGGAACGAGUUGGUUUUUACCUCAACAGCGCCACCUUUCGGCAAAGAUUGCUUACGGGAUGGUCUCAACGUGGAAAGUGGAUUCUGAAAAGGAAAAAAAAAAAACCCUGCAACUUGGCAUCUGUGCCUUUGUGAAGGACCAUGGUAGCAAGCGCGUCUCUGACCAGCGUCGGGGGACUUGUCUGUGUCAGGUUUGUUUGGUUGGUGGGUUCCCGUCGGGCCCCCAAAGUUCUGCCUUAGAGCACAAUGCAUGUUUAAUAAUAUCCUGGUUUGUUGCGCACGAGGGAUGUGAAAGAUGCAGUCGUCUUCUCCGGUGGGAAUCCCUGGGACGGCCUCCCCCCGAGUUACCCCAGCCUCCUCCAUUUCCUCGCCCGAGAGAGACACCCAGUGUGGCCUGGCACACGGGCAGCCAGGAGUAAAGGCGUGGGCACACCCGAGCAUCUGAAUGGGAGGGCCGACUUCCUUCGGGUUUAGGCACGAGCUGGAGACCCAAAAUGGGAAGGCCUCUUUCCUGCCUCUCGCCAUUCCAAAGCAACAGAUUUUCAUGCCUUUCUUUUUUUGUUUGCUUCUUUCCUCUCCACGCCAGGAUGCAGCCAUUUCCCUAGAAUUUUCUUCUCCUUCCAUUAGGGACUGCUCGCAAGUUCACCAGUCCAUCGUUACCCCUUCUGAUCCUAUUCGCAGCUACCCCAAGGAGGCAAUCUGUCUCGAAAGCACUCAACCCUGCAAAGAUUUAUUGUACUGAAAUCAGAACUGAUAGGGGGAAAAAAAAAAAAAAAAAGGCAGGAAUUUUAAAAAGGGAGCUGGUAUUGGGACAGUGUUAGUUUGGGCAGUGUCUUCCAACGCAGGAGGACUCGGAGGACAGGCUGGUGGUGCUGCUGCCUCUGUAAGGUUUUGGUUACCGUCCUUCCUACCCUAGGCUGUGGGAAGAUUCUUAGGUCCUGUUCCAGAGGCGUGCAGCAGCCAUUCCACCCAGGAGAGGGACAUGGAGUUCUAGAAAACACAGGCCAAACUUAACCACUCGUGUGAUGACCAGAGGCGUCUGGUGAUACAGAUGAUUUUUUUUUGGUCUUUUUAGGGGCACGCCCAAGGCAUAUGGAAGUUCCCAAGCCAGGGGUCGAAUCAGAGCUAUAGUCACCUGCCUACCCCACAGCCACAGCAAGGCCAGAUUUGAGCAUCAUCUGCAACCUAUAGCACAGCUCACAGCAACGCCGGAUCCUUAACCCACUGAGCGAGGCCAGGGAUCGAACCUGCGUCCUCAUGAUACUAGUCAGGUUCCUGCUGAGCCGUGGCGGGAACUCCCAGAUGAUUUCUGAAGCUGUGUGUUUCUGAAUCUGUAUGGCGGGGUCCGAGAGGAGAGGUUCCUGGUGGCCCCAUGUUACGACUUUGCUCCUGGUUGUGUGACGGGUUUUGCUGAGACGUCUCACGUGUUGUUCUCUUCGCUGAGACGACUAAACAUGCUCCGUGACACCCUCAUGGUAGCAGCCAGCAUGACAGUUCCAGUCGCCUUGGGCUCCACAACCCUGCCACCCCCAAUGAAAAUUAAAGGCAAGCUUUUAGAUCUUUUGCUGGGAUUCUCAUUGAGUCAUUUUAUAACAGGGAUCCAUGCUGCCUGUUAAAAAGAAACAUUUGAACAAGACAGAAAUGGAAUGUCAAAAAAAAAGGACCACGCUUCCUCAUCUCCAUCCUGUCCCCUAACUGUGGCCUCAGGUGUUACCAUCCCUGAUUAUCUGGGUCCGUGUGUGUUUUUCUUAGGGAGCAGAAUCGCAGUAGGCACAGACUUCUCCAACGUCUGCUCUGCAGCACAUCCACCCGAAGGAUCUCGAAGAGCAGUGCAGGGCACUCCUCUGUUCUUUGGCAGGACUGACGUUGGAGGAUCUCAGACUAGGGGGAGGUUAGAAAGCUGACCUAUCACUCGCCUCCGAACCAGUGUACGAUCGGAAUCUGCUUUGCGCAUGACUCUGACUGCGGGGCCGGCUGCACUCAGCACAGCAGCUCGGGGCCCAGGAAACAUUUUCAUUUCUUCUAAAAUGAGAGUUAAAGAAAUGAAAAUCAUCCAGCCUGGAUUAUACCUGUCAUUAUACCAACAGUCAUCAAAGUAAUUAAGUUCUCAUCUGUAUGUGUAACUGGGUCACCAUGCUGUACAGUAGGAAAAAAAAAAAACUGUAUUGGGGAAAUAACAAUAAAAAUUUUUUUUAAAAAAAUAAUUAAGUUCUU